GGGUGCCGUCCGUGGUGCGGGUGACGUCCGUGGUGCGGGUGACGUCCGUGAUGUGGGUGAUGUCCGUGGUGCAAAUGACGUCCGUGGUGUGGGUGACGUCCGUGGUGCAGGUGACGUCCGUGGUGCAGGUGACGUCCGUGAUGUGGGUGACGUCCGUGGUGCGGGUGCCGUCCGUGGUGUGGGUGACGUCCGUGAUGUGGGUGACGUCCGUGGUGCGGGUGACAUCCGUGGUGCGGGUGACGUCCGUGGUGUGGGUGACGUCCAUGGUGCGGGUGACGUCCGUGGUGCGGGUGACGUCCGUGGUGCGGGUGUCGUCCAUGGUGCGGGUGACGUCCGUGGUGUGGGUGAGGUCCGUGGUGUGGGUGACGUCUGUGGUGCGGGUGACAUCCGUGGUGCGGGUGACGUCCGUGAUGUGGGUGACGUCCGUGGUGCGAAUGACGUCCGUGGUAUGGGUGCCGUCCGUAGUGUGGGUGACAUCCGUGGUGCGGGUGCCGUCUGUGGUGCGGGUGCCGUCCGUGGUGCGUGUGUCGUCCGUGGUGCGGGUGACGUCCGUGGUGCGGGUGACAUCCGUGGUGCGGGUGAUGUCCGUGGUGCGGGUGCCGUCCGUGGUGCGGUUGACGUCUGUGGUGCGGAUGACGUCCGUGGUGCGGGUGACGUCCGUGGUGCGGGUGACGUCCGUGAUGUGAGUGCCGUCCAUAGUGUGGGUGACAUCCGUGGUGCGGGUGCCGUCCAUGGUGUGGGUGACGUCCGUGAUGCGGGUGACGUCCGUGGUGCGGGUGACGUCCGUGGUGCGGGUGACGUCUGUGGUGCGGGUGACGUCCGUGGUGCGGGUGACGUCCGUGGUGCAGGUGACGUCCGUGGUGCAGGUGCCGUCCGUGGUGCGGGUGACGUCCAUGGUGCGAGUGACGUCCGUGAUGUGGGUGCCGUCCGUGGUGCCAGUGACGUCCAUGGUGCGGGUGACGUCCGUGGUGUGGGUGACGUCCGUGGUGCGAGUGACGUCCGUGGUGCGGGUGCCGUCCAUGGUGCGAGUGACGUCCGUGGUGCGGGGGACGUCCGUGAUGCGGGUGACGUCCAUGGUGCAGGUGACGUCCAUGGUGCAGGUGACGUCCGUGAUGCGGGUGACGUCCGUGGUGCGGGUGACGUCCGUGGUGCGGGUGAUGUCCGUAGUGUGGGUGACGUCCGUGGUGCAGGUGACGUCCGUGGUGCGGGUAACAUCCGUGAUGCGGCUGACGUCCGUGGUGCCAGUGAUGUCCGUGGUGCGGGUGACGUCCGUGGUGCGGGUGACGUCCGUGGUGCGAGUGACGUCCUUGGUGCAGGUGACGUCCGUGGUGCAGGUGACGUCCGUGGUGCGGGUGCCGUCCGUGGUGCAGGUGACGUCCGUGAUGCGGGUGCCGUCCGUGGUGCGGGUGACGUCCGUGGUGCGAGUGACGUCCAUGGUGCGGGUGACGUCCGUGAUGCGGGUGACGUCCGUGGUGCGAGUGAUGUCCGUGGUGCGGGUGACGUCCAUGGUGCGGGUGACGUCCGUGGUGCGGGUGAUGUCCGUGGUGCAGGUGACGUCCGUGGUGUGAGUGACGUCCGUGGUGCGAGUGACGUCCGUGGUGCGGCUGACGUCCGUGGUGCAGGUGACGUCCGUGGUGCAAGUGACGUCGGCGGUGCGGGUGACGUCCGUGGUGCGGGUGACGUCCGUGGUGCGGGUGACGUCCGUGGUGCGGGUG
RNAcentral lists this long non-coding RNA (1715 nucleotides) under Volvox carteri. Its description in RNAcentral is "long non-coding RNA (VCAR_LNC003783)". The record is from RNAcentral. Lineage: Eukaryota; Viridiplantae; Chlorophyta; Chlorophyceae; Chlamydomonadales; Volvocaceae.